GGCGAGAAAAGAGUUCGAUUGGUUGGAUGUAUUUUGAGUGAUGGCGAGAACUUGGAUGAGCGAGAUAUACAUCUCGAAUCCUAGCCUCAGGAGUGCACGGUAUACACCAUGUUCCAUUUCCAUAUUUAUUGGCAAAAGUGUUUAAUAAAGAUUAAGUAUUUUUAGGUUUGAUUGAGAAAGGGUUUGAAGAAACCGCAUUGACAAUUUUAGACGAUGGCGAGAGUUAGGAUAGGCGAGGCAUCCGCCUCGAAUCUUAAUCUCAG
RNAcentral lists this long non-coding RNA (263 nucleotides) under Lathyrus oleraceus (garden pea). Its description in RNAcentral is "Pisum sativum (pea) long non-coding RNA (PSAT_LNC037204)". The record is from RNAcentral. Lineage: Eukaryota; Viridiplantae; Streptophyta; Magnoliopsida; Fabales; Fabaceae.